This 426-nucleotide ribosomal RNA is filed under the name uncultured bacterium. RNAcentral describes it as "bacterial SSU rRNA". It matches the Rfam family "Bacterial small subunit ribosomal RNA", at positions 917 to 1344 of the family's 1533-position model. The record is from RNAcentral.
GGGCCCGCACAAGCGGUGGAGUAUGUGGUUUAAUUCGAUGCAACGCGAAGAACCUUACCAGGGUUUGACAUCCUGCGAACCUCUUAGAAAUUUGAGGGUGCCUUCGGGAAUGCAGUGACAGGUGGUGCAUGGCUGUCGUCAGCUCGUGUCGUGAGAUGUUGGGUUAAGUCCCGCAACGAGCGCAACCCACGUUUUUAGUUGCCAGCAUUUAGUUGGGCACUCUAGAAAGACCGCCGGUGAUAAACCGGAGGAAGGUGUGGAUGACGUCAAGUCAUCAUGCCCCUUACACCCUGGGCUACACACGUACUACAAUGCUACGGACAAAGGGCAGCAAACUCGCGAGAGCUAGCAAAUCCCAUAAACCGUGGCUCAGUUCAGAUCGUAGGCUGCAACUCGCCUACGUGAAGUAGGAAUCGCUAGUAAUCG